Molecule: transfer RNA, 72 nt
Filed under: Arthrobacter phage Mimi
Lineage: Duplodnaviria; Heunggongvirae; Uroviricota; Caudoviricetes
Also listed under: 3 other names
Description: tRNA-Gln
Rfam family: tRNA
About the family: Transfer RNA (tRNA) molecules are approximately 80 nucleotides in length. Their secondary structure includes four short double-helical elements and three loops (D, anti-codon, and T loops). Further hydrogen bonds mediate the characteristic L-shaped molecular structure. tRNAs have two regions of fundamental functional importance: the anti-codon, which is responsible for specific mRNA codon recognition, and the 3' end, to which the tRNAs corresponding amino acid is attached (by aminoacyl-tRNA synthetases). tRNAs cope with the degeneracy of the genetic code in two manners: having more than one tRNA (with a specific anti-codon) for a particular amino acid; and 'wobble' base-pairing, i.e. permitting non-standard base-pairing at the 3rd anti-codon position.
Source: RNAcentral
ACCCGGAUCGUAUAAAGGCAUUACCCCUGAUUCUGGAUCAGGUGAUUGAGGUUCGAAUCCUUGUCCGGGUGC